This is a long non-coding RNA of Bombus pascuorum, 1651 nucleotides long. RefSeq lists it as uncharacterized. The record is from RefSeq and is a predicted model, not a curated record. The transcript is spliced from 2 exons. Lineage: Eukaryota; Metazoa; Arthropoda; Insecta; Hymenoptera; Apidae.
UCAACUUUCUCAAAGGGUGUUAUCUGUUAAGCAAAUAAAAAAAUAAAUAAAUAAAUGCUCGCCAUUUACGUGUGUUACGAUGGAUUUCCACAAGUAAACGAACAUCGCGUAGAAAUCACUGCGUUCUGCGAGUAAUCGGUCUUUAAUUCGUUUCCCUAAGGAGAAAUCGUGAUUAUUGCAACGUAAUAUAUACUCUGAUUGCUCGCUAUACAUGUAUUAAUCGAAUAACAUCUAUCUAUAAGAACACAUAAAGGUUAUCAAUGAUAUAAGGAAGAAGUUACGACGAGAAAUAAAAGAAAAUUUACAUACGUCAUCGCACAUCGAAACAUUACACAAGAAACGAUUGUGCGUAGAAUCUAAAGUUCAAUGUACAGUUCGUUCUAAGAAGACAACGGGAGUGUAGCGAUUUUUCUCUCAUUUUUCUGGCCAGUGCAGUGUUUCGGAAAGGAGAACGUAAUACGUCAAUUUGCACUAAACAAUUUGACGGAGAUUACGACGACAUUUAAACACUGGUUAUUCGAGCGUUAUUACAUUAACUCGCAUCCUACUUAGGUGGAUUUUUCAACUUCGCGGCUUCAACUUUAAUGUAAAAAAUGACAGCAACGUGUCUAUCGUACACGCUUAACAAGGAAAUUGGAAAAAGAACAUUCGCAAUAAAUACUAUAAUAAAAAACUGAAAUGCAAAAGGAUACAAACAAGCGAGUGUAUCGUUGUUAUCUUCCACAUCUUAUUAUCCUCCACGUGCAUUAUUCGAUUUGCCAACUAUAUAUGUACGUUUAUACGGAAUCGCUAAUCGACUUGUUUCUUAGAUUAACGUGGUGGUCGUCAACAAACUUGCCACAAUCAAGCCACUUGCAUAGCCGCGCACCAGGAUAUUAUGAUGCAAGCUGUAUGUCAACUUAAUCGGUGUUAAUAGAGUCACAUUUGCAUCGCAGUAAUGUAUACGCUUCGAAUGAACGUUUAAACGUUAGAUUUUUAAGGAAAUUGAGAUUUGUGGUAAUUGGAGUAUAAUAAAAAAUUGGUAUACACUAUCGUGUUUCCUAUAAGAUACGUUCAAAUAUUUUUCUCUUUCAUUUUUUCAGAUACUUGUCAAUUGCAAGAAAAACGCUGACCCAGAAUACAAGAUUCUGUAACUGUAUUUGUUAAUUUAUUCUUACAUUCUAAAAUAACACCGGGCGAAUUUUCAUAAUUUUGCUGUUUUAAAUUGAUUUGUAUAUCAUAAGUGACUUAUCUUCGUGACUACGUUAAUUAAAUAUAAUGUUUGUAGACGGAGGUUUAUUUAAGAAUAUAUACGGUGAAAGAUAAAUAUGCAUGAAUAUUUUUAAUGUUAAUUAAAUAUAAUGUUUGUAGACAGUGGUUUAUUUAAGAAUAUACACGGUGAAAGAUAAAUAUGCAUAAAUAUUUUUAAUGGCGUUCCUUUGUUUUCCGAAUACAUAAAAACCUGGACGUGUUUAAUAUUUGUACGUUGCAAAUAUCCGCGUUUUAUGAUUGCAGUGUGUGCGUUAAUAGCUGCAGCCACGUGAUAAUUAAUAUUCGGAUCGUAAAAAUGAUAAUAACGGUGAAAGUAUUUUUCUAACGUCUAAUUACGUAUGUAAUAUGUAAAACGUAUAAUUGCUUGAAUAUAUUAUCCAAAUGAUUUUUUUGCCUAUAA